UAUAUUGAAUGGCAUCAUUCGAUAUUGAAAACUCCGGUGGAUAGAGAUGGGCACGCGCAAGAUUAGAUAGUUGGUGAGGUAACGGCUCACCAAGUCUGCGAUCUUUAGGGGGCCUGAGAGGGUGAUCCCCCACACUGGUACUGAGACACGGACCAGACUCCUACGGGAGGCAGCAGUGAGGAAUAUUGGACAAUGGGUGAGAGCCUGAUCCAGCCAUCCCGCGUGAAGGACGACGGCCCUAUGGGUUGUAAACUUCUUUUGUAUAGGGAUAAACCUAGAUACGUGUAUCUAGCUGAAGGUACUAUACGAAUAAGCACCGGCUAACUCCGUGCCAGCAGCCGCGGUAAUACGGAGGGUGCAAGCGUUAUCCGGAUUUAUUGGGUUUAAAGGGUCCGUAGGCGGAUCUGUAAGUCAGUGGUGAAAUCUCACAGCUUAACUGUGAAACUGCCAUUGAUACUGCAGGUCUUGAGUGUUGUUGAAGUAGCUGGAAUAAGUAGUGUAGCGGNUGAAAUGCAUAGAUAUUACUUAGAACACCAAUUGCGAAGGCAGGUUACUAAGCAACAACUGACGCUGAUGGACGAAAGCGUGGGGAGCGAACAGGAUUAGAUACCCUGGUAGUCCACGCCGUAAACGAUGCUAACUCGUUUUUGGGAUUUAGGUUUCAGAGACUAAGCGAAAGUGAUAAGUUAGCCACCUGGGGAGUACGUUCGCAAGAAUGAAACUCAAAGGAAUUGACGGGGGCCCGCACAAGCGGUGGAUUAUGUGGUUUAAUUCGAUGAUACGCGAGGAACCUUACCAAGGCUUAAAUGGGAAAUGACAGGUUUAGAAAUAGACUUUUCUUCGGACAUUUUUCAAGGUGCUGCAUGGUUGUCGUCAGCUCGUGCCGUGAGGUGUUAGGUUAAGUCCUGCAACGAGCGCAACCCCUGUCACUAGUUGCCAUCAUUAAGUUGGGGACUCUAGUGAGACUGCCUACGCAAGUAGAGAGGAAGGUGGGGAUGACGUCAAAUCAUCACGGCCCUUACGCCUUGGGCCACACACGUAAUACAAUGGCCAGUACAGAGGGCAGCUACACAGCGAUGUGAUGCAAAUCUCGAAAGCUGGUCUCAGUUCGGAUUGGAGUCUGCAA
This 1126-nucleotide ribosomal RNA is filed under the name Chryseobacterium sp. MYb458. RNAcentral describes it as "bacterial SSU rRNA". It matches the Rfam family "Bacterial small subunit ribosomal RNA", at positions 173 to 1310 of the family's 1533-position model. The record is from RNAcentral. Lineage: Bacteria; Pseudomonadati; Bacteroidota; Flavobacteriia; Flavobacteriales; Weeksellaceae.